This is a long non-coding RNA of Chinchilla lanigera (long-tailed chinchilla), 1132 nucleotides long. RefSeq lists it as uncharacterized. The record is from RefSeq and is a predicted model, not a curated record. The transcript has 6 exons. NCBI's taxonomy places the organism in Eukaryota, Metazoa, Chordata, Mammalia, Rodentia, Chinchillidae.
CCAAAUUUCUAGGAUCUUAUUUUAGUCAGGAAUAUGCUAUAUUAUUUUGUAGUUGGCAAAUGGGUGUGGCAUUUUGUACCAUCAUCCUACACCAGAUCCUGCAAGUGGAGAGACCAUACACUAAUCUUUUAGUGCUUCUACUUCUGCAUACCAGCUGAUUUCUUUUGAUAAUCUGGACAUGUGUUCAUCUGGUUGUAAAUUAUACAUUGAGAUUGCAUCUCCUAACAGCUGUGUUCCUAUCAACCUAACAUCUUUCAUCACUUUUACUUGAAAAUUUAUUUUAAUCUCCCAUUUUGUAUUUGUAAAGAGAAGAUCGAUUAUGACUCUCUUGUGAGCUCUUCUCCACUCUUAAUCACAGCAAUGAGCUCCUGCUACUCUACAUCUUCACAGGUGUUGGUAUGGUCAGAUAUUUGGAUUUCGGCCAUUCUAAUAGCAGGUGCAGCUGUCGUCAGAAGCAGUCACUGGCUCCUCUGUCUGUGGGAUGCUUGAGAAUCUCAGAUGAUGACCCAGCCUCUGCCUGCGGACUGUUUGGAUUUGGGUCUGUUCUGGGGCCUGCACUGGUGCUUGUGCUGCCUCUGGGUGGUGCUCUGCCAGAAUCUGGGCCCACUGUGUGCUGAAGUCCAGCUGAUUCAGAGCAGAGCUGGAGCAUGGCUGAGGGGAUUUAAAAAGAACUCUGAAGUGAUCUGGGCCAUCUGCAGAGAUGAUAUGCAUAUGCAUUGAACUGAGGGAACAGACCUGCCUUGAAUGCAGUGACAUUAUAUAUUAGUAUGGAGGCCCAGAUGGAACAAAAUGGGGAAGGACAAAGCAUGCCAGCACAUGCAGUCACUCUCCUCGCAGCAUUCAUGAAGUACUCAACCCUGCUGUGCUCAGUGCGCUCUGCCAUGAUUCUCCCUCACCACAAGACCAGAAGCAAUGGAGCCAAAGGAACCCAGCCUGAAACCUCUGAAACUAUGAGGCAAACCCCACAGAGAGCAACUCUGCUCCACCACAUGCUCCCCACCAUGGUGAUUCUGCUUCACCACAAACCCAGAAGCAAUGCAGCCAAGGAGCCCUGGAUGGGAACCUCUCAUAUGACCAACCAAAAUCAACUUCUCCACCUUGGUUCUCCUCUGCAGUGCCCCGCUGUCAAGCC